Molecule: ribosomal RNA, 478 nt
Filed under: uncultured organism
Description: partial 16S ribosomal RNA
Rfam family: Bacterial small subunit ribosomal RNA
Source: RNAcentral
UACACUCCUACGGGAGGCAGCAGUGGGGAAUUUUGGACAAUGGGCGAAAGCCUGAUCCAGCAAUGCCGCGUGUGUGAAGAAGGCCUUCGGGUUGUAAAGCACUUUUGUCCGGAAAGAAAUCCUUGGCUCUAAUACAGUCGGGGGAUGACGGUACCGGAAGAAUAAGCACCGGCUAACUACGUGCCAGCAGCCGCGGUAAUACGUAGGGUGCGAGCGUUAAUCGGAAUUACUGGGCGUAAAGCGUGCGCAGGCGGUUUGCUAAGACCGAUGUGAAAUCCCCGGGCUCAACCUGGGAACUGCAUUGGUGACUGACAGGCUAGAGUAUGGCAGAGGGGGGUAGAAUUCCACGUGUAGCAGUGAAAUGCGUAGAGAUGUGGAGGAAUACCGAUGGCGAAGGCAGCCCCCUGGGCCAAUACUGACGCUCAUGCACGAAAGCGUGGGGAGCAAACAGGAUUAGAUACCCGUGUAGUCCCAUGAU